This is an RNA transcript of Zingiber officinale, 1218 nucleotides long. It is a transcript of the gene named transcription factor VIP1-like, with no coding region annotated. Lineage: Eukaryota; Viridiplantae; Streptophyta; Magnoliopsida; Zingiberales; Zingiberaceae. The transcript is spliced from 5 exons. The record is from RefSeq and is a predicted model, not a curated record.
UGAUGCAAUUUUCACAUUGUCGUCGUCGUGCUCGAAGUAGACUACAUCGCCAUAGGUUGCGCCGCCACUGCUAGACCUAUCCUGCUGAAUCGGCCGGCGAUGGAGCCUCCCGGCCUCCAGCCGCUGACUAACUCCCGCUUCGGGGAGAUACCUCUACCCAACCAUCAUCGCGGCGGCGGCCACCGCCGCUCCAACUCGGAGACCUUCGUCCGCCUCCCUGGUGAUCUUCUACUCGACUCCGAUCCGGACUUCGAGAUCCCUGACAUCGACUUCUCCUCGUUCUCGGACGACACCGUGUCCGGGGACAGCGGGGCUCCCUUGGUCACUAGGCCGGACCCGCCGGUUGCGACAGAGGCGUGCCUUCCUGGGGUACACUUCAGGAGUCUGUCGUUCGACACAGCCUUCUUUGAGGGGAUGUCAUUUCAGGAACCACCGUCUGGUGGCAGCGGUGCUGCUGCAGGAUUGACGCAGAUGGGGCACCACCGCCGGCGCGGGUCCAUGGAUGGCGCGACUUCGCCGUUCGAGGGGGAGUCAGCGCCGCCAUUCUCGGAUUUCGCGAAGAAGGCCGUCCUUUCGGAUAAGCUUUCCGAGCUAGCUCGGAUUGAUCCCAAGAGAGCAAAAAGGAUUCUUUCUAAUAGACAAUCUGCUGCUCGUUCAAAGGAGAGGAAGGUUCGCUAUACAAGUGAACUCGAGCAGAAGAUUCAAACACUUCAGACGGAGGCAACCUCUAUUUCUGCACAGCUUACAGUUUUGCAGAGAAACAGUACUGGUUUGUUUGCUGAGAACAGAGAACUCAAGCUGAGAUUGCAGGCUAUGGAGCAACAUUCGAAACUUCGAGAGGCUCUCAACGAAGCAUUACGAGAAGAAAUCCAGCGGCUGAAGCAACAGAUCGGAGAAGUUCCGAGUGCAAAUGGAAAUCGUUUUAGACGCGCAAGUCAGCGGCAUGAAGAGUUGCCUCUUUGAAGUACUCAUCUUGUUCAGCAUACCCAUGCGUCUCCGUCUCAAAUUUCUUCAAGUGAUCAACAACUGAGCGAGCAAAGUUUGAUGGAUCUGAUGGACUUGAUUUGAGAACUGCGGCAUGGACGACAAGGGGAAUCCUUCCAAACUGGUGAAUGCAACCUCAGCAGCCACCUCGCCUUCUCCUUCACCGCGCUGCCGCAGUCGGCCUGCAGCACCAAGCAGAGCUUCUCCACCGCCCCCACGCUCACCAUCUCCUCC